Bos taurus (domestic cattle) is the source of this 72-nucleotide non-coding RNA. The record is from Rfam. NCBI's taxonomy places the organism in Eukaryota, Metazoa, Chordata, Mammalia, Artiodactyla, Bovidae.
UCCCUGGCAGUCCAGUGGUUAGGACUCAGCACUUUCACUGCCACGGCCCAGGCUCAAUCCCUGGUCAGGAAA